AGAGCUGGUCCAGACAGCAGAGAACCUCGCAGAGAAAACCUUCAUGGGAAGAAGUUGAGUGCUGCAGGUUACCAACAUGGAAAGGAUCCAUCAGAGACCAGACUCCUCUGGACCUGGACCUGGACCUGAACCUGAACCUGAACCUGAACCUGAACAUGGACCUG
Molecule: long non-coding RNA, 164 nt
Organism: Scomber japonicus (chub mackerel)
Lineage: Eukaryota; Metazoa; Chordata; Actinopteri; Scombriformes; Scombridae
Exons: 3
Source: RefSeq, a predicted model, not a curated record